Molecule: non-coding RNA, 507 nt
Organism: Rattus norvegicus (Norway rat)
Lineage: Eukaryota; Metazoa; Chordata; Mammalia; Rodentia; Muridae
Source: RefSeq, a predicted model, not a curated record
CACCUGUAAGGGUGGGUGGCAUUGAGUGUGUGCAAAUGCCAGAUCUUCCACCUAUCCCCUUGCUUCUCCCAGGCCCAGAGCUCCAGAAGCAAUCUGACUGAGUUGGGAGAUGAUCACAGCACCUGGCAUGAGGCCGACCCAAUUAAGGGCAGCAGGCAGAACUCAACCUGAGGAAGCUGUAGCUGUGCUUGGGCCGCCUUGUUGGGCACCUUCAGGUCCUUUGCAUAGAGCCUGUGAACAUUGCUGGGCAGAGCCUGUCCAUGAAGUGUGUGCCCAUGCAGGCCUGGCCCCUGAUGGGGUGUCACUGUGUGCUCCAAGAUGGCCUUGAACUCCUGAGCUCAAGUGAUCCUCCUGCCUCAAGUUCCCAAUUAUUUGGGAGUACAGACAUUCAUCACCGACAUUCAUCAGCAUGCCCAGGUUUGUUGGCAUUCUUAAAAUGUGUGUGUGUGUGUGUGUGUGUGUGUGUGUGUGUGUGUGUGUGUGUGUGUGUACAUGUACACAUACACA